CAAAAUGUUCAAAUUACAAUAAAAAUUAUAUGAAGAACAAGGAAGAUAACUUUAACUAAAACGUUAAUCAAUAGAUGCCAACACCAAGAUAACAGAGAUGGUAGAAUUAUAUGACAGAGAUUUUAAACAACCAUCAUAAAAAUGCUUCAGUGAGUAAUUAUAAAUGUGUUUGAAACAAAUGAGAAAAGAGAGAGCCUCGGCAAAGAAUAGAAAAUCUCUGAAAAGAAAGAGAAGAUAUAAAGAAGAAGCAGAUGGAAAUUUUAGAAACAAAAAAUAAAGUAACUGAAAUUAAAAACAAAAAACCUCAGUGUCUGGACUCAAUGGCAGAAUGGAAGGAACAGAAGAAAGAAUCAGUGAACUGGAAUGCAGAGCAGUAGAAAUUAACCAAUCUAAACAACAGAGAGGAAAUAGACAGAAAAUGAACAGAACCACAGGUACCUGUGGAAUUAUAACAAAAGAUCAAACAUUCACAUAAUUGGAGUCCUGGAAGGAAGAGAGGAAGAGGUCAAGACUAAAAUAUAUUUGAAAGAAUAGUAUCUGAAAUCUUUCCAAAUUUGGCAAAAGAUAAAAACCUACAUAUUAGAGAAGCUAAGUGAAUCCCAUAGAAAAGAAAUGUAAAGAAAUCCACACUAAGGCAAAUUAUAAUUGAAUUUCUGAAACUAAAGACAAAGUCUUGAAAGCAGCCAGGCUAUAGUGGAAAUGCAAUUUGAAUGACUGACUUUCUCAUCACAAAUCAUAGAGACCUAAAGAAAGUGGCACAACAUUUUUUCAUGUGCCAAAAGAAAAGAACUGUCAAUCCAGAAUCCUAUAUCCCCCAAGAGGUCUUUCAGGAAUGAAGCACUUGGUGUGAUUGUUAGUAGCUGCAAAUGGGAUUAGAGAGGAUCAAAACUGGAAGAAGCCUGAAAUCUGGAGAAGAAUGGUGAGAGUUGAUGCAAAGAAAUGCCCUACCUAUUCAGAUCACCUAAGAAAAUAUUUGGGGACCUUGUUGAGGAUUCCCUCAGAGAUUACUUUUCCUGAAUCUUCAUUCUCAC
Molecule: long non-coding RNA, 1031 nt
Filed under: Equus caballus (horse)
Lineage: Eukaryota; Metazoa; Chordata; Mammalia; Perissodactyla; Equidae
Description: lncRNA (ENSECAG00000055103.1)
Source: RNAcentral